Molecule: non-coding RNA, 29 nt
Filed under: Mus musculus (house mouse)
Lineage: Eukaryota; Metazoa; Chordata; Mammalia; Rodentia; Muridae
Source: RNAcentral
UGGUUGCCACCCAAGAGAGGAUUAGGGUC